AGUGAACGCUGGCGGUAGGCCUAACACAUGCAAGUCGAACGGCAGCACAGUAAGAGCUUGCUCUUACGGGUGGCGAGUGGCGGACGGGUGAGGAAUACAUCGGAAUCUACUUUUUCGUGGGGGAUAACGUAGGGAAACUUACGCUAAUACCGCAUACGACCUACGGGUGAAAGCAGGGGAUCUUCGGACCUUGCGCGAUUGAAUGAGCCGAUGUCGGAUUAGCUAGUUGGCAGGGUAAAGGCCCACCAAGGCGACGAUGCGUAGCUGGUCUGAGAGGAUGAUCAGCCACACUGGAACUGAGACACGGUCCAGACUCCUACGGGAGGCAGCAGUGGGGAAUAUUGGACAAUGGGCGCAAGCCUGAUCCAGCCAUACCGCGUGAGUGAAGAAGGCCUUCGGGUUGUAAAGCCCUUUUGUUGGGAAAGAAAAGCAGCAGGUUAAUACCCCGCUGUUCUGACGGUACCCAAAGAAUAAGCACCGGCUAACUUCGUG
RNAcentral lists this ribosomal RNA (492 nucleotides) under uncultured bacterium. RNAcentral's name for it is "partial 16S ribosomal RNA". It matches the Rfam family "Bacterial small subunit ribosomal RNA", at positions 29 to 507 of the family's 1533-position model. The record is from RNAcentral.